UACCUAUGUAAUCCCAUUGUUGGAGA
This 26-nucleotide non-coding RNA is filed under the name Rattus norvegicus (Norway rat). The record is from RNAcentral. Lineage: Eukaryota; Metazoa; Chordata; Mammalia; Rodentia; Muridae.